RNAcentral lists this long non-coding RNA (283 nucleotides) under Lathyrus oleraceus (garden pea). Its description in RNAcentral is "Pisum sativum (pea) long non-coding RNA (PSAT_LNC016983)". The record is from RNAcentral. Lineage: Eukaryota; Viridiplantae; Streptophyta; Magnoliopsida; Fabales; Fabaceae.
AAAAUUUUAUUAUAUGUUUCUCAUUUUAUUUCCAAGCUUCCAUAAUUUUCUUGGCCAUUUAUUUGGUGUUUUAAAGGACUUUGUGGAUUUUACAUUUCAUUUCCAUUUUAAAAAUACCUUUAAUGUAUUUUUAUUUCAUUUAAUUGCAUUUUUAAUCUGUUUUACCUUAUGGACUUCUAUUGGCCUUGGAUCAUGAUGAUUUGACUUCAAGACUCAUCAAACUCAAUGGAUCUUGGGUGUUAAUGGGGUGAAAAUCCUAAUCCACCAAAAUUGAUGAUUGAUU